Transfer RNA from Galdieria sulphuraria, 73 nucleotides. It matches the Rfam family "tRNA". From Rfam's summary of the family: Transfer RNA (tRNA) molecules are approximately 80 nucleotides in length. Their secondary structure includes four short double-helical elements and three loops (D, anti-codon, and T loops). Lineage: Eukaryota; Rhodophyta; Bangiophyceae; Galdieriales; Galdieriaceae. The record is from Rfam.
GCCAAAGUAGCUCAGCUGGUAGAGUACUCAAUUCGUAAUUGAGUUGUCAUGGGUUCAAAUCCCUUCUUUGGCU